CAGAUGAAUUGACAGAAAAGUAACACCUCUUCCAGAAAGCUAGGUGGAAAGACUAUGUAGGUGCUGGCUCCAAGAGAAAUAAGAUGCAAACCAGGCAAUGAAAAUUAAAAUUACAAUGACGCUCAGAUUCAACCUCAAGCAAAUACUGAAGAUUCAGAUCAAACUGGAGCUCAGUGGUAAAGGGAACAAAUUUAAAUGGUGUCCCUAGCUGAUAACACAAAGCAGGAGAGCACAGCAUCACACCUGCAAUCUUCCCAUAUGUGACUAGGAUCUAGUUAUGAGGAAACCACAGAUAAACCGAAAUGAGGAACACUCUACAAAAUCACUGGCCUGUGAUUUUUGAAAGCACCAAGACCAUGAAAGUCAAGGAAAGACUGAGGAGCUGUUCCAGAUUA
Fukomys damarensis (Damara mole-rat) is the source of this 395-nucleotide long non-coding RNA. RefSeq lists it as uncharacterized. The record is from RefSeq and is a predicted model, not a curated record. Lineage: Eukaryota; Metazoa; Chordata; Mammalia; Rodentia; Bathyergidae. The transcript is spliced from 3 exons.